CGGGGCGUGGCUCAACCUGGUUUAGAGCGCCUGGUUCGGGACCAGGAGGUCGGUGGUUCAAAUCCACUCGCCCCGACCA
Molecule: transfer RNA, 79 nt
Filed under: Candidatus Omnitrophota bacterium
Lineage: Bacteria; Pseudomonadati; Candidatus Omnitrophota
Description: tRNA-Pro
Rfam family: tRNA
About the family: Transfer RNA (tRNA) molecules are approximately 80 nucleotides in length. Their secondary structure includes four short double-helical elements and three loops (D, anti-codon, and T loops).
Source: RNAcentral